Molecule: long non-coding RNA, 269 nt
Filed under: Capsicum annuum
Lineage: Eukaryota; Viridiplantae; Streptophyta; Magnoliopsida; Solanales; Solanaceae
Description: long non-coding RNA (CANN_LNC016908)
Source: RNAcentral
UGAUCAUGACACUUAUAUUCAAUUGGAUUAAAGUUUACACACGUAGAAACAACGGUUAGAAGUCUAGCGCAAAAAUAUGGGGUGUUACAAUAUUGAAUACACAUAGCAUUCUAUUAUAACACCACAAAAUAGUUAAAACCCAAGUAUGUAUUCGAUAAAAAUGACCAAUCACUAAAGGAAGAUUUAUGUUCACUAGAAGCACUAAAACUACACCAUUCAGUACACCCAAUUAUAAUUUACAAAAUCAAAAUACAAGUCCUAUGCCCCUU